Molecule: long non-coding RNA, 329 nt
Organism: Helianthus annuus (common sunflower)
Lineage: Eukaryota; Viridiplantae; Streptophyta; Magnoliopsida; Asterales; Asteraceae
Exons: 3
Source: RefSeq, a predicted model, not a curated record
AUAUAAAAUAAAAAUAAAAACCCCAACUACCCAUAUCUGGGCGUGGAACGAUCGAACAGAGAGGAGAAAGAAAGGGGUGAAACCCUAAUUCAUGAGCAGACCUUCAAAUUGAAAGGGGAAUUGAAGCCUAGUUGAAUGCAUGAACUAAGAAUGAUGAUCCUCUAAGCAUACCCAACAUCAAGAACGUGUCAAGGAGAGGUCAAGCAUAGGAGGAUAACGGGUCAAGAUAAGGCAAGGUGACAAAUACACUUAUUGGAGUACUCGAGGUAUGGGAUCGUUGGCUUCAUGAAGAAAUGGAGCUGGAUUUGGAUAAGAGUAUUUAAGAAAGC